GACGAACGCUGGCGGCGUGCUUAACGCAUGCAAGUCGAACGGAAAGGCCCUGCUUUUGUGGGGUGCUCGAGUGGCGAACGGGUGAGUAACACGUGAGUAACCUGCCCUUGACUUUGGGAUAACUUCAGGAAACUGGGGCUAAUACCGGAUAGGAGCUCCUGCUGCAUGGUGGGGGUUGGAAAGUUUCGGCGGUUGGGGAUGGACUCGCGGCUUAUCAGCUUGUUGGUGGGGUAGUGGCUUACCAAGGCUUUGACGGGUAGCCGGCCUGAGAGGGUGACCGGCCACAUUAGGACUGAGAUACGGCCCAGACUCCUACGGGAGGCAGCAGUGGGGAAUAUUGCACAAUGGGCGGAAGCCUGAUGCAGCAACGCCGCGUGCGGGAUGACGGCCUUCGGGUUGUAAACCGCUUUCGCCUGUGACGAAGCGUGAGUGACGGUAAUGGGUAAAGAAGCACCGGCUAACUACGUG
Molecule: ribosomal RNA, 468 nt
Filed under: uncultured bacterium
Lineage: Bacteria
Description: partial 16S ribosomal RNA
Rfam family: Bacterial small subunit ribosomal RNA
Source: RNAcentral